RNAcentral lists this ribosomal RNA (803 nucleotides) under uncultured Aureispira sp. RNAcentral describes it as "bacterial SSU rRNA". It matches the Rfam family "Bacterial small subunit ribosomal RNA", at positions 621 to 1433 of the family's 1533-position model. Lineage: Bacteria; Pseudomonadati; Bacteroidota; Saprospiria; Saprospirales; Saprospiraceae. The record is from RNAcentral.
UUACGCGUUGAACUAAUGAGCCUGGAAGGGUUCGAGUACACGGAAUGCUUCAUGUAGCGGUGAAAUUCUAAGAUAUGAAGUAGAACGCCAAGUACGAAGGCAGUGUCAUAGGGCAUUAUUGACGAUGAGGUACGAAAGCGUGGGUAGCGAUCAGGAUUAGAUACCCUGAUAAUCCACGCCCUAAAAGAUGCUAACUGGUCAUUUGUCGCGAAUAGACAAGUGACUGAGGGUAACCAUUAAGUUAGCCACCUGGGGAGUCGUUCGCAAGAAGUAACUCAAAGGAUUGACGGGGGUCCACACAAGCGGGGAGCAUGUGGUUUAAUUCGAUGAACGCGAGAACCUUCCUGGGCUCGAACGCUACUUGACCGAUCUUGAAAGGGGUCUUCUCUUCGGAGCAGGUAGUGAGGUGCUGCAUGGUUGUCGUCAGCUCGUGCCGUGAGGUGUUGGGUUAAGUCCCGCAACGAGCGCACCCCCUAUCUUCAGUUGCCAACAGAUAAUGCUGGGGACUCUGGAGAGACUGCCUCCGUAAGGAGGGAGGAAGGAAGGGACGACGUCAAAUCAUCAUGGCCUUUAUGCCCAGGGCUACACACGUGCUACAAUGGCAGGUACAGAGGGGAGCGAAACCGUGAGGUGGAGCGAAUCUCAGAAAGCCUGUCCCAGUUCGGAUUGAAGUCUGCAACUCGACUUCAGGAAGUGGGAAUCGCUAGUAAUCGCGCAUCAGCCAUGGCGCGGUGAAUAGGUUCCCGGACCUUGUCCCCUAAACGGGUCAAGCCAGGGGAGUCGGGGGUGCGGGAACGAUGCUG